GGGGACAUGGUCUAGGGGUAUGAUAUCUCAUUCGCAUUGAGAGGGUCGGGGGUUCAAUUCCCCCUGUCUCCA
Molecule: transfer RNA, 72 nt
Filed under: Glarea lozoyensis 74030
Lineage: Eukaryota; Fungi; Ascomycota; Leotiomycetes; Helotiales; Helotiaceae
Also listed under: 1 other name
Description: tRNA-Ala (CGC) (tRNA-Ala-CGC-1-1, tRNA-Ala-CGC-1-2)
Rfam family: tRNA
About the family: Transfer RNA (tRNA) molecules are approximately 80 nucleotides in length.
Source: RNAcentral